AGUGAACGCUGGCGGUAGGCCUAACACAUGCAAGUCGAACGGCAGCACAGUAAGAGCUUGCUCUUACGGGUGGCGAGUGGCGGACGGGUGAGGAAUACAUCGGAAUCUACUUUUUCGUGGGGGAUAACGUAGGGGAACUUACGCUAAUACCGCAUACGACCUACGGGUGAAAGGAGGGGAUCUUCGGACCUUGUGCGAAUGAAUGAGCCGAUGUCGGAUUAGCUAGUUGGCGGGGUAAAGGCCCACCAAGGCGACUAUCCGUAGCUGGUCUGAGAGGAUGGUCAGCGACCCUGGAACUGAGACACGCUCCAUACUCCUGCGGGAGGCAGCAGUGGGGAAUAUCGGACAAUGGGCGCAAGCCUGAUCCAGCCAUACCGCGUGGGUUAAGAAGGCCUUCGGGCUGUAAAGCCCUUUUGUUGGUAAAGAAAAGCAGCAGGUUAAUACCCCGCUGUUCUGACGGUACCCAAAGAAUAAGCACCGGCUAACUUCGUG
Molecule: ribosomal RNA, 492 nt
Filed under: uncultured bacterium
Lineage: Bacteria
Description: partial 16S ribosomal RNA
Rfam family: Bacterial small subunit ribosomal RNA
Source: RNAcentral